UACGGGGGGGGCAAGCGUUGUUCGGAAUUACUGGGCGUAAAGGGCUCGUAGGCGGCCAACUAAGUCAGACGUGAAAUCCCCAGGCUCAACCUGGGAACUGCGUCUGAUACUGGAUGUCUUGAAUUCGGGAGAGGGAUGCAGAAUUCCAGGUGUAGCGGUGAAAUGCGUAGAUAUCUGGAGGAAUACCGGUGGCGAAGGCGGCAUCCUGGACCGAUAUUGACACUGAUGAGCGAAAGCCAGGGGAGCAAACGGG
RNAcentral lists this ribosomal RNA (253 nucleotides) under uncultured bacterium. Its description in RNAcentral is "partial 16S ribosomal RNA". It matches the Rfam family "Bacterial small subunit ribosomal RNA", at positions 524 to 776 of the family's 1533-position model. The record is from RNAcentral.